AACCAAAAAAGCCAGGGUAUAUGUGCCUGUUUUCCCUUGUGACUUAAGACCAACUGAUUUCUGCCAUGUCUCUGGGGACUUUGGUGGUAUGAGCACCCCUAUAGCACCAAGCAUUUGUCACUGAGCUACAGGGACAGUGCCUACGAAAGCCAGGCCACCUGCGCGCAGAGGCCUGCUUAAUUUACCAAGCCAGCGUGUGCAGAUAUGGAGAGGUCCAGACUGAACUCCGUGGCAAGCUCAUGCUCAGGUAAGCAAGGUCAGGCGUCCCUGGGGGCCCAGGCAAUUACACAAACGGCAGCUCAUUGCAGACCCACAAAUAGGUUGCCAUUUGCUUCUUGCUUUGUUUUGGGCUUGGCACCAAUUGUAUACAGGGAGAAUUAUAGUGCAGCGUUCACCUGCCAAAAAGAAAAAAAAGACUGUGCUUGGUUUUUUUUUUUUUAAUUUUAUUUUAUUUUUGUAAGUAUAACAGACAAUCUUGUUAAUGUAACCCAGUUGGAAUUUUAUAGUUCUAGGAGUCUGGAUUUUCAUUUUUAAGGUAUUGAUCUCAGACACUUCAACGCCAUGACGACCCAACAUCAUGGUUGACAACUGCCGGUCUAGUGUAUAAGACAGAUGAUCAAGGUGAUAGGACCACGUGAUCUCAGAUUCUAACUGGUAGGUUCCAUUUGUGCAUAACGAAUGCUUCCAAUUCUCAAGUGCCCGGCGGAAGGGCCUUCUACGCCAUUUUACAAAUGAACAUGCUCAAGGACUUUUCAGACAGUUGAUCAUUAACUCUCAGGAAAGGCCUGACCCUCACAUUCUCCUGGCUGCUUCACAUUUUUUGAGGAAAAGGUUCCAGGGACAGAGGUGUUACGCUCACAAGCUCUUGUGGAUUGGAUUUCUGGGACAUUCCCAGAGAAGUUGCUCAGACACGCCAGGACGCGACCGUGCACCCCUUAGGAUUUCGGCUGCAUCGCCUGAAAAAGGAAAGGUCAUACAUAACACAUGGUUCUCCGGAACCGGCUCCAUCCGCUCCUCCGGCCCCGGCCCCGAGCAGCUCACAAAGAGAGAUGGAAGAGAUAAGCAGAGUAGCUGAAUCAGAAAUGAACAUGCGACCCUGUGGGAACAUGACAAGUAUUUUAUCCCCGAACAACUCAGGCAACAACAGAUGUUGGCGAGGAUGCGGAGAAACGGGAACCCUCUUGCACUACUGGUGGGAAUGCAAACUGGUGUAGCCGCUCUGGAAAACAGCGUGGAAGCUCCUCAAAAAAUUAAAAAUAGAUCUACCCUACGACCCAGCAAUAGCACUGCUAGGAAUUUACUCAAGGGAUACAAGUGUGCUGUUUCGAAGGGGCACAUGCACCCCAAUGUUGAUAGCAGCACUAUCGACGAUAGACAAAGUAUGGAAAGAGCCCAAAUGUUCAUCGAUGGAUGAAUGGAUAAAGAAGAUGUGGGAUAUAGAUACAAUGGAGUAUUACUCGGCAAUCAAAAAGAAUGAAAUCUUGCCAUUUGCAACUACGUGGAUGGAACUAGAGUGUCUUAGGCUAAGCGAAAUAAGUCAUUCAGAGAAAGACAAAUAUGUGAUUUCACUCAUAUGUGGAAUUUAAGAAAAAAACAGGUAAACAGAAGGAAAAGGAAGUGAAAAUAAGAUAAAAACAAGGAGACAAAUCAUAAAAGACCCUUAAAUAGAAUAAACUGAGGGUUGCUGGAGGGGUGUUGGGUGGGGGGGGGAUGGGCUCAAUGGGUGAUGGGCAUUAAGGAGGGCACUCGUUGGGAUGAGCACUGGGUGUCCUAUGUAAGUGAUGAAUCACUAAACUCUAUUCCUGAAGUCAUUAUUACUAUAUGUUAAGUGACUUGGAUUUAAAUUAAAAAAAAAAACUUAAGUAUUGGAAAUAUGUUACAGAAUGGACAUAGGCCAAUUUAAAUGGUUCAAAGGAUAGCCACCAUCUAGAAAUAUAUCUACCUUUUGCAGGCAUCACACACAAUUAUAAAACAGCAACAAAAAUUAAGAACUGUACAAGAAAUGCUAAACAUUGCACCAAUUAUUUGACUUAAAAAAUGGCCAAGGGGGGUGGGGGGAAGAGGCAUUAUCUUCCAAGGAUGAAGUGCCGGUGGAGGGAGGAGAAGGAGGGAGGUACUGAGAAGAGAGCCAGAUUACGGCUUGUGUAAGUCGUGGUGACAAUGGCUGUUUACCAAGAAUCGGAAAAGGGAAGAAGGCACGGUAUUUGGAAGAGAGGGAAGACAGUGAGUUCCUUUUGGACGGGGCUUACAGACACCCAAGUGGAAAUAUCCACCAGGCGGGCAGAUAUAUGAGUCUGGAGCUCAGAGACGUCUGGGCUGGAGGCGUAACUUCGGGUCAACAGAGCACUGAAGCCAUGAGUGUGCAUGAGAUCACUGGAGACAGUGGUGCAGGAGCAGCAGCCCCGGGGCCUGGGCUGGAGGAGGGAACCCGGAGGGAGGCCAGGCCGGGAGGGGACAGGAACCGAGGAGCCAGUCAGCAGCACCUGCAGGUAGCCCUCCUCAGAUGGACACAAACCUGCCUGAGCCAGGACGGAGGGAACCGUGCAGAUUCGCCUUAAACAGUUCAAACGGGGCCCAGUUUCCUUUGUCACUGUUACUUGUCAUUGGCACUCUCAAGUAGGGUUUUCAGAACACUUCCUCAAUGAUUGUAGUUUUAAAAAAUUCCGCAAGGAAGUUGUGAAGGCUAGGACCCGCCCCCCCCUUCCCCUGGUCCACUGGGGUAUAAUUGACAAAUAAAAUCAUGAGAUAUGUGAAGGGUACAGUAUCUGAUUUCAUGUACGUGUACAUUGUGAGACGGUUCCUUCCAUCAAGUGAACGCAUCCGUUGCCUCAUGUGUUAUCUUUGUGUGCGGGGGUGUGGUGAGACUAAGCAAGGUCUACUCUCUUAGCAAAUCUCAAUUAUGCAGUACAGUGUUAUUUAACUUUAGUAACUAUGUUUUAUGUCUGGUCCUCAGACCUUAUUCAUCUUAGAGUUGAAAGUUUGUACCCUUUUGUCAACCUCUUCCUAUUUCCCUCAUCCUUCAGCCCUUGGCAACUAUAUUUUUCUUUUCUUUGAAAAAAUUUAUUUUUUAAUGUUUAUUAAUUUCUGAGAGAGAGAGAGAGAGAGAGAGAGAGACAGAAUGUGAGUGGGGGAGGGGCAGAGAGAGAGAGGGAGACGCAGAAUCGGAAGCAGGCUCCAGGCUCUGAGCUGACAGCACAGGGCCCGACGUGGGGCUCGAACUCGCAGACCGUGAGAUCAUGACCUCGGCUGAGGUCGGACGCUGAACCGGCUGAGCCCCCCAGGCGCCCCUUUAUGAAAAGAUAAGGAAGUUGAAGCUCACCUGUGGGGGGAAAGGGCAGCUAUGGUUAAUUGGCCCUUGGCCUUAGUGUCUUCCUGGCUGUUUCUUUGUACUUCAGUUUGAAGUCAUCGAGUAUAACCUGUCCCUUCACCUACUGGGUUGCAAUGUACUUGACAUUGGGAGUCCUGGCUUCAUCUACCCCCAAGCUCCUCUUCCUCCAUCCAGCACCUUCCUUUGUAACUCCAAAGUAUUUGAUAAGUUGGGGGUGAAUGGAAUCGAUAGCAGGACCAAAGCAUCCAUGGUUUGAAUACUUGAAGCUUUCAUCUGUCGCUCAGUGAUUCCCUUCCUUACUACACAGCAGUGGUUGGGAUGGAUUUUGUUGUAACCAGCCUUAGAACAACAAAAAGGGCUUAAUACAUCCUGUAGGGGAGACUUCCUAGGAAAUUCAGCACGACCAGCUCAACAAAUACUUUUGGAUCAGUAUGUAUUUUUACACGAUUCCUCUCCCCCCUUUUUUCUCCCCCUAACCAUACACACAACUGCUUUGGAAUUUGCUUUUGGAAACGUGGAGAAAUAAUCUUCUUUCGUUUCUUUAGAGUUAAAAAAAUGUCUAUCUCCCUUUGACUUUUGGCUAUUGUAUUUUGUACAACUUUACGUUUAUUUCCUCUGAGUUUACACACUCAUAGGAUUCCUGAUAUUGGCCAGUUUCUGCCCUGGACUAUUCAAAAUGAGGGCGACUCAUAUAGCACAGGGGGAGAGAAUGCUGGCCUUGGCUUUAGUAGAUCCAGUGUGGGCACUGUGUGGCCUCAGGCAAGUUACUUGGCCUCUCAGAAUCUGUUGCUUUAUCUAUAGAAGAAAUGCUAUGGCCUUCACAGGGCUUGAAACGAGAAUUACGCGAAAUGAGGCCUAAUGGUAGCCCACCCUUGCCUAUACUAUGUGCCCCAUAAAUGUUUAUUUCCAUCUACUCCCUCUGUUUUAAACUCUGACACAUAUUUAUUAUGUAAACUUGAGAGAGCUCUUCCAACAUUGAUGCAUACGAUCAGUCUAUAUCUGUCAUUUACGCUUCUUACUUUUUCCAUUAGCCUGUGCUUCCCACAAUAGUUUGGAAAUACCUUGAAGAUGGAAAGAUAUAUUUUAUGUUUUAGGUGUUUUUAUGCCCAAUCACCUACGAUAUGCUUCUCAUCAAGUAGGCGGCCAGGUACUUUUUAACUAUCUUUUCUUUUUCUUCUUCUUUUUUGUUUUAGUGUUUAUUUUAUUUUUGACAGAGAGAGAUAGAAUGUGAGCGGGGGGAGGGGCAGAGAGAGAGGGAGACACAGAAUCCAAAGCAGAAUCUGAGCCGGUCAGCACAGAGCCCGAUGCGGGGCUUGAACUCAUGGACCGUGAGAUCAUGACCUGAGCUCAAGUUGGAUGCUUAACCGACUGAGCCACCCAGGUGCCCCCCUUUUCUUUAUUUUGAUUACGUCGUUUGUUAUGUAGUGAUAACGACAGUAUUUGCCCCUGUAUAAGAAAUUAAUUACAAAUAAAAAAAAUCUGUAAAUCUCAGGUAUUCGUGGUGGAGAUUAGGGGUUGUUACCAUUGAUUUGCCCCACGAUUUCCCUGAUCAGAGGGUACUUGGAUUUAUACUCAUCACUCUGUUCUGUGUGGCAAGCUUCCCAGCACAAUCUGCAAAUUGGCAAGCAGUGAAGUUUGUGCAGACACGACAGUCAGUUAGAAAUAGAGGGAGUGUAUAAUUUGCUGUUCAAAUGGGAGCACAUGUGAAAGUGCAAAGGGAGAGCUUUUAAUGAUUAUGUUGGCUCAACAGUGGUAAAGCAGGGCCAUCCAGGGCAACCAUGGCUACUCUGGUUAUCACAGACAGGUACCAGGGGUAUCUCUGCCUUGCAACAGCACCUCCUAAACUAACCCCAUUGAUAUGCUACGGAAGCGAUUCUAAUGCGAAUUGAAUUUGGUAUGCCUUCUGCAACAUGCUUUCAACCUGGGCAUUUCUUUACCCCUGUCUAUUAGUAUCUAAUGAGGGGUGGUGUUGGCUAAAUUAAGCACAUUAUGUUGAAGAGAAGAGAAGUAACCUAAAUGAGAGAAGGUUCCCAGUUUCUCUCAGCAGAGACAUUAUGUGAUAUCUUUUAACCUUACAGCUCACAGUCUAAGGAGGGCCUCUGGUGUGGUGCUCCUACAGUGCUCCUGUUGUCUCCCCACCUUGACCCCAGGCUGCCUGAUGGCUCUCCAGCCCCGGGCAGGAGAGUGCCAGUUCUAAGAAUCUUCUCUGAAAGGCAACUUAACCCGUGUGACUGUAAGAGAACUUACUACAAUUUACUCGGUAGAGUAGGGACAGAAAUUUCUUUGCAAAUAGAAGAUGCUUGCAUACUUUGCUCUGAAUUCUUUAUGUUUGUCCUCAUUUUAGUAGCAGUUGGCUUUCCGAGGACUUGUAAAGUCUUCAGUGACACGGUAAUAAGCACUGAGAUCAUAACUUUGUCUUUCACAAAAUAAAUCAGCAAAGAGUUUGAAGUAAAGGUGGGUAUUUAAACCGUUUCGCCGAGGAGUUCCAGUCUGUUAUCCAGAUGGAAAUGAGAUGCCUCUUGAUUUGCAGGUAGUCAAUAAAUCUUUUUUUUUUUUUUUUGUAAAUAAAAAAUGAGCUUUUUUGAGCGAGGUUGAGGCUAUCUUCUGCCAUUCCUUACCCAGGCAAUAGGUUUUCCU
Molecule: long non-coding RNA, 5965 nt
Organism: Panthera uncia (snow leopard)
Lineage: Eukaryota; Metazoa; Chordata; Mammalia; Carnivora; Felidae
Exons: 7
Source: RefSeq, a predicted model, not a curated record